Molecule: ribosomal RNA, 328 nt
Filed under: uncultured eukaryote
Lineage: Eukaryota
Description: partial 18S ribosomal RNA
Rfam family: Eukaryotic small subunit ribosomal RNA
Source: RNAcentral
CCCUUAGAUGUCCGGGGCUGCACGCGCGCUACACUGAAGGAAUCAGCGUGCUAAAACCAUUGUCGAAAGGCAUUGGUAAACCCAUUAAAAUCCUACGUGAUUGGGAUCGGGAAUUGCAAUUAUUUCCCUUGAACGAGGAAUUCCCAGUAAGUGUGGGUCAUAAGCUCGCGUUGAUUACGUCCCUGCCCUUUGUACACACCGCCAGUCGCUGCCCGGGACUGAGCCGUUUCGAGAAAAGCGGGGACUGCUGCUGUCGGGGCUUUCGGGCCUUGGCUUCGGUGGAAACCGCUUUAAUCGCAGUGGCUUGAACCGGGCAAAAGUCGUAACA